RNAcentral lists this ribosomal RNA (1348 nucleotides) under uncultured archaeon. RNAcentral describes it as "bacterial SSU rRNA". It matches the Rfam family "Archaeal small subunit ribosomal RNA". The record is from RNAcentral.
UCCUGCCGGAGGCCAUUGCUAUCGGAAUCCGAUUUAGCCAUGCUAGUCGCACGGGUUAGACCCGUGGCGAACGGCUCAGUAACACGUGGCCAAACUACCCUGUGGACGGGGAUAAUCUCGGGAAACUGAGGCUAAUCCCCGAUAGGGCUUCCAUCCUGGAGUGGAGGAAGUCCGAAAGGUUGCGCUGCGGCACCACAGGAUGUGGCUGCGGCCGAUUAGGUAGACGGUGGGGUAACGGCCCACCGUGCCAGUAAUCGGUACGGGUGAUGAGAGUCAGAGCCCGGAGACGGUAUCUGAGACAAGAUACCGGGCCCUACGGGGCGCAGCAGGCGCGAAACCUUUACACUGCACGACAGUGCGAUAGGGGGAUUCCGAGUGCGAGGGCAUACAGUCCUCGCUUUUCUGGAUCGUAAGGAGAUGCAAGAAUAAGGGCUGGGCAAGACCGGUGCCAGCCGCCGCGGUAAUACCGGCAGCCCGAGUGAUGGCCGAUAUUAUUGGGCCUAAAGCGUUCGUAGCCGGCCAGUCAAGUCUGUUGGGAAAUCCACGCGCUCAACGCGUGGGCGUCCAGCGGAAACUGACUGGCUUGGGGCCGGAGGACUCGAGGGGUACGUCCGGGGUAGGAGUGAAAUCCCGUAAUCCUGGACGGACCACCGGUGGCGAAAGCGCCUCGAGAGGACGGACCCGACGGUGAGGAACGAAAGCCAGGGUCUCGAACCGGAUUAGAUACCCGGGUAGUCCUGGCCGUAAACAAUGUCUGCUAGGUGUGGCGCAGGCUACGAGCCUGCGCUGUGCCGCAGGGAAGCCGUGAAGCAGACCGCCUGGGAAGUACGUCCGCAAGGAUGAAACUUAAAGGAAUUGGCGGGGGAGCACUACAACCGGAGGAGCCUGCGGUUUAAUUGGACUCAACGCCGGACAUCUCACCGGCACCGACAACAGUGAUGACGACCAGGUUGAUGACCUCAUCACGACGCUGUAGAGAGGAGGUGCAUGGCCGCCGUCAGCUCGUACCGUGAGGCGUCCUGUUAAGUCAGGCAACGAGCGAGACCCGCACCCCUAAUUGCCAGCAACAAUUUCGAUUGGUUGGGUACAUUAGGAGGACUGCCAGUGUUAAACUGGAGGAAGGAACGGGCAACGGUAGGUCAGUAUGCCCCGAAUGAGCUGGGCAACACGCGGGCUACAAUGGCUAAGACAAUGGGUCGCUAUCUCGACAGAGAACGCUAAUCUCGAAACUUAGUCGUAGUUCGGAUUGAGGGCUGAAACUCGCCCUCAUGAAGCUGGAUUCGGUAGUAGCCGCCUUUCAGUAGAAGGCGACGAAUACGUCCCUGCUCCUUGUACACACCGCCCGUCA